Molecule: ribosomal RNA, 530 nt
Filed under: Alternaria sp. DWD-5
Lineage: Eukaryota; Fungi; Ascomycota; Dothideomycetes; Pleosporales; Pleosporaceae
Description: eukaryotic LSU rRNA
Rfam family: 5.8S ribosomal RNA (bases 155-308)
Source: RNAcentral
AGGCGGGCUGGAAUCUCUCGGGGUUACAGCCUUGCUGAAUUAUUCACCCUUGUCUUUUGCGUACUUCUUGUUUCCUUGGUGGGUUCGCCCACCACUAGGACAAACAUAAACCUUUUGUAAUUGCAAUCAGCGUCAGUAACAAAUUAAUAAUUACAACUUUCAACAACGGAUCUCUUGGUUCUGGCAUCGAUGAAGAACGCAGCGAAAUGCGAUAAGUAGUGUGAAUUGCAGAAUUCAGUGAAUCAUCGAAUCUUUGAACGCACAUUGCGCCCUUUGGUAUUCCAAAGGGCAUGCCUGUUCGAGCGUCAUUUGUACCCUCAAGCUUUGCUUGGUGUUGGGCGUCUUGUCUCUAGCUUUGCUGGAGACUCGCCUUAAAGUAAUUGGCAGCCGGCCUACUGGUUUCGGAGCGCAGCACAAGUCGCACUCUCUAUCAGCAAAGGUCUAGCAUCCAUUAAGCCUUUUUUCAACUUUUGACCUCGGAUCAGGUAGGGAUACCCGCUGAACUUAAGCAUAUCAAUAAGGCGGAGGAA